GAUGAACGCUGGCGGCGUGCCUAAUACAUGCAAGUCGAGCGAACGGACGAGAAGCUUGCUUCUCUGAUGUUAGCGGCGGACGGGUGAGUAACACGUGGAUAACCUACCUAUAAGACUUGGAUAACUUCGGGAAACCGGAGCUAAUACCGGAUAAUAUUUUGAACCGCAUGGUUCAAAAGUGAAAGACGGUCUUGCUGUCACUUAUAGAUGGAUCCGCGUUGCAUUAGCUAGUUGGUAAGGCAACGGCUUACCAAGGCAACUAUGCAUAGCCGUCCUGAGAGCGUGCUCGGCCCCCCUGGCUCUUAGACCGGUUCCAGACUCCUACGGGAGGCACCAGUAGGCAAUCUUACGCAGCGGGCGAAAGCCUGACGGGCCCACGCCGCGUGGGUGAUGCAGGUCUUCGGAUCGUAAAACUCUGUUAUUACGGAAGAUCAUAUGUGUAAGUAUCUGUGCACAUCUUGACGGUACCUAAUCAGAAGGCCACUGCUAACUACGUG
RNAcentral lists this ribosomal RNA (497 nucleotides) under uncultured bacterium. RNAcentral's name for it is "partial 16S ribosomal RNA". It matches the Rfam family "Bacterial small subunit ribosomal RNA", at positions 28 to 507 of the family's 1533-position model. The record is from RNAcentral.